UCGCCGAAAGGCGAAUUAAUACCGCAUGUGAUUAGAGAGGACAUCCUUUCGAAAUUAAAGUCGGGGCAACCUGACGCUUCUUGUGGGGCCCGCGGCCUAUCAGCUAGUUGGUGAGGUAACGGCUCACCAAGGCUAAGACGGGUAGCUGGUCUGAGAGGACGACCAGCCACACUGGAACUGAGACACGGUCCAGACACCUACGGGUGGCAGCAGUCGAGAAUUUUUCACAAUGGGCGCAAGCCUGAUGGAGCGACGCCGCGUGGGGGAUGAAUGGCUUCGGCCCGUAAACCCCUGUCAUUCGCGAUCAACCCUUAUUAUUUAAAAGAUGAUAAGCUGAUAGUAGCGGAAGAGGAAGGGACGGCUAACUCUGUGCCAGCAGCCGCGGUAAUACAGAGGUCCCAAGCGUUGUUCGGAUUCACUGGGCGUAAAGGGUGCGUAGGUGGUGAGGUAAGUCGGAUGUGAAAGCUCGGAGCUCAACUCCGAAAUGGCAUUGGAAACUACCUUGCUCGAGGGUUGGA
RNAcentral lists this ribosomal RNA (518 nucleotides) under uncultured Verrucomicrobiota bacterium. RNAcentral's name for it is "bacterial SSU rRNA". It matches the Rfam family "Bacterial small subunit ribosomal RNA", at positions 148 to 653 of the family's 1533-position model. The record is from RNAcentral. Lineage: Bacteria; Pseudomonadati; Verrucomicrobiota.